GGCGGCGUAGCUCAGCUGGCUAGAGCGUACGGUUCAUACCCGUAAGGUCGGGAGUUCGAGUCUCUCCGCCGCUA
This 74-nucleotide transfer RNA is filed under the name Salsuginibacillus halophilus. It matches the Rfam family "tRNA". From Rfam's summary of the family: Transfer RNA (tRNA) molecules are approximately 80 nucleotides in length. Their secondary structure includes four short double-helical elements and three loops (D, anti-codon, and T loops). Further hydrogen bonds mediate the characteristic L-shaped molecular structure. tRNAs have two regions of fundamental functional importance: the anti-codon, which is responsible for specific mRNA codon recognition, and the 3' end, to which the tRNAs corresponding amino acid is attached (by aminoacyl-tRNA synthetases). tRNAs cope with the degeneracy of the genetic code in two manners: having more than one tRNA (with a specific anti-codon) for a particular amino acid; and 'wobble' base-pairing, i.e. permitting non-standard base-pairing at the 3rd anti-codon position. The record is from Rfam by way of RNAcentral. Lineage: Bacteria; Bacillati; Bacillota; Bacilli; Caryophanales; Bacillaceae.